This is a small nucleolar RNA of Protopterus annectens (West African lungfish), 114 nucleotides long. RefSeq annotates it as small nucleolar RNA U109. Lineage: Eukaryota; Metazoa; Chordata; Ceratodontiformes; Protopteridae. The record is from RefSeq and is a predicted model, not a curated record. The transcript has a single exon.
GUGUCUGUUGCUAAGGAGAAUGAAAUGUUUGUAACAUGCUAGAGUAGAUUUGGAGCAAUCAGGGCUGCCAGCCAUAAAGCACAGACUGUGCAGUAGUGUAAAACUCCAACAUUA